RNAcentral lists this small RNA (468 nucleotides) under Drosophila pseudoobscura pseudoobscura. RNAcentral describes it as "GA30633". The record is from RNAcentral. Lineage: Eukaryota; Metazoa; Arthropoda; Insecta; Diptera; Drosophilidae.
CUCCAACUUUUUUUCGCCCAUUUAAAUUAAAGAAGCAACUACAGGGCAGUGCAGCAGCCACUUAGGAUUUACCUUCGCAGCCCACACUCGCAAACAUUUAUGGCCGCACCGGAGGCAAACAACAAAGGCAUUUUAAUUAAAUUAAAUUCGUGCGAAAACAAUUUGAAGAAGAAAUAUAUUUAUAUUUUACGAGCGUGCCCUGCGAAAAACGGGGCAAAUAAAAAGUCCGAGCAGCAGGAACGUGUUGCGACCAGCAAAUUGAGCAGAAGACCAGACCGGUCUCCAGUUUCAAGGGUAAUACAAGACGAUAAUUGGAAUCGGAAAAGCAAAGUGCAGUGGACAGCGAGGUGUAUAAUCAUCACUCAAAUUAUGCCUACAGCUCGUACAUAUUUAUAGCAUUGCAAAUUUAAAUGAUAAAUGCUUACACGAAAUGUAACAUACAAAUAAAGGAAUUAAAUAAAAUUUAAA